Molecule: long non-coding RNA, 209 nt
Filed under: Gossypium raimondii (Peruvian cotton)
Lineage: Eukaryota; Viridiplantae; Streptophyta; Magnoliopsida; Malvales; Malvaceae
Description: long non-coding RNA (GRAI_LNC006232)
Source: RNAcentral
GUUUUGAAGAGAAAAAUGGAAAAGAAAAAAAAAUUAAAAAGAUUCAAUAUUUAAGUAGAAAAUGAAGAGUAGUAAGGUGUUAUUUUAAAUAUCUAUUAUAUCUCCAUUUAUUUUUAUAAAAAAAUUUGAUACAAUAUUUAGAACUACUCAUAGUCAUUUUUCAACCCUUUAAGUAGGAGGAUAAUGUACUUCAGCACAUUCAAACCCAC